RNAcentral lists this non-coding RNA (24 nucleotides) under Drosophila melanogaster (fruit fly). Lineage: Eukaryota; Metazoa; Arthropoda; Insecta; Diptera; Drosophilidae. The record is from RNAcentral.
UACUUACCUGUAACGUCGCCAGAG